This is a long non-coding RNA of Lagenorhynchus albirostris (white-beaked dolphin), 803 nucleotides long. RefSeq lists it as uncharacterized. The transcript is spliced from 3 exons. The record is from RefSeq and is a predicted model, not a curated record. NCBI's taxonomy places the organism in Eukaryota, Metazoa, Chordata, Mammalia, Artiodactyla, Delphinidae.
CACCAGCCGCUAAGACCGCACCUCAGUUUAGCCUUCUUUACUGGGCCCUCGGCCCCCCGACUGUCUCCUCCUGGGGUCGGGCAAUCUGUCCAUCCGCGUCGGUGACGCCGUCCAUCCAGCCGGCGUCCACAAUCCGUCGGUCGGCACCUCGGCGAUGGCCUGUCGGGGUGGCCAGAGGUCCCGGCGCGGAGUACCCCUAAAGGAGGGGCAUCAGCAGCCUUUGUUCCUGAUGAGAAACCAAAGCCCAGAGAAGUGAAGAGACUCGCUCAAGGUCACACAGCAGAUAAGCGGCCAAAGAUUCAAACACAGAUGUGACCCACCCCAAAGUCAUAGCUCACCUCCCUGCUGUUCUCUGAUAUGUCCCCUGUUCCUAUCCUCUAUGGUAUUUCCCACUAGUCAUAUAUAAAACAAAAGAAGUCGGGACUUCCUUGGUGGCGCAGUGGUUAAGAAUCCGCCUGCCAAUGCAGGGAACACAGGUUCAAGCCCUGGUCUGGGAAGAUCCCACAUGCUGCGGAGCAACUAAGCCCAUAUGCCACAACUAUUGAGCCUGCUUUCUAGAGCCUGCGAGCCACAACUACUGAAGCCCACGCGCCACAACUACUGAAGCCCACGCACCUAGAGCCCAUGCUCCACAGCAAGAGAAGCCACCGCAAUGAGAAGCCCAUGCACCACAAUGAAGAGUAGCCCCAGCUCACUGCAAUGAGAGAAAGCCCAGCAAAGAAGACCCAACACAGCCAAAAUAAUAAACAAAUAAAAUUAAAUUUUAAAAAAAUUUAAAAAAGAACAAAAGAAGUCUAUAGUAA